CCGCUGGCCGGCGGCCGCGCAGCGCUCCGAGGCCCAGGAGGCGGUCCAGGCAGGCGUUCGCCCGGCCCCGUGCGCGCCGCAGUCCCCCGCCCCCGUUCAGUGCGGCAGCGGCUGCGGGCCAGCCAAGAUGAGGAAUCUGGGGCACAGCCAGGUUGAGGAUUCCCUCUGGGCAGUGCAAAAGGAACCUUAUCUCCUGAAACAGAGUAGCAAGAUGCCUCUUCCUUCAGCGUGCGUGCGUGCAUAAUUAGUCGUGUCCGACUUUGUGACCCCAUGGAAUGUAGCCCAUCAGGCUCCUCUGUUCAUGCGAUUAUCCAGGUGCUGUGAGAGCUGAGCACCACUUGAAAACCUUAAUAAGUGACCUUGGCUCCCAAUUCCAGGGACUCAGCUACCCCCAGGUGCAAAGGAGCCAGCCUGUCUGAAGCAGGAAGUGUGGAGAAGAGCCCUACCUGAGAGAAGUCUGGUUUCAGGGGCGGGUUCUCGCGCAGCUCGGGGCUGAGGUACUCAUUGUUGACAUAGUAGCCGACUCGGAUGAACUCCUGUCCAUGGGGAUCUUCCCAACCCAGGGAUCAAACUCGCAUCUCUUGCAUUGGUAGAGGGGUUCUUUACCACUGAGCCACCUGAGAAGCAAGGUGGAGAGCGGGAUAAAAUGAGGCUGAAGAGGUGAGCAGGUAGGUAUCAGUGAAUUAAAUAAAGGCUUGGGAAAGGUUGAGGAUGUUUAGCAGGAGAUAGGUGUGGCAUUGCUCAUUCCAUCUGAAAAUUCGACUCUGGAGGUCAGUGCAGCUGCAAUAGGAAAAGAGCUAAGUGGGAGGUGGGAGACCAGGCAGGGGGCUACAGAAGUCAUCCUGGAGAGAGGGCAGUGGCUUAGACCAGGCCUUAGAGAAGGACAGAAGUGGACAGAUUUCGGGGGGUGUUGCUAAGGACAGAGCACAGAUGGGAUCUGAGUAGUUCAGUGUGCAUGCUCCUACUUGAGGCAGAACCAGGCAAUCUCAGACUAAACGUGUUUUUUUUUUUUUGCCGUCUCUAAGCCACAGUUUCUUCGUUUUUGUUGUUAAUUUUGCUCUUUAAAAGGGCCCUAAACGUGGUGCCGAGUGAGGGCUGCCGUGUUCCUAAGAGCAAGGAGGGAUGUACCUUAUAGAGAAAACACAUAUGUUAGGUAAGCUCUGCUCAGGCAUGAGUUAUAGUCCUGUGGGCCAUGUGUUCACUGUGAAUAAAUCCAAAAUAAGGUGUCUUUAAACAGAAAAACACAUAAAACAAGAUUAUGUAUUGACUGGCUGACAAAAAUGUUGACUUGCAGAAACCUAACACUGUAUUUCCUCUAGGGCAGGGAUUCCCAACCUCCCGGAUCUAAUGCCUGAUGAUAUCUGAGGUGGAGCUGAUAAUAGAAAUAAAGGGCACAAUAAAUGUAACGUGCUUGGGUCCAUGGGAAAAUUGUCUUCCCGGAAAUCAGUGCCUGGUGCCAAAAAGGUUGGCGACAGCUGCUCUACGGGCAAUGGUUUGGGAUUCAUUAAAUUCAGUGUCCACAGCAACUUUGCAGAACUCCCGUGAGUAACAAGAAUCAGCUAUAAAUUGGUGGCUCUCGGUAACAGCUAUGACGUAAUAGAGAUGGGAGAUGUCUGAACUGCCUUUGAGAGGUCAGACAGUGCUUGAGAGGAUCUGAACCUGAACUUGGACCAGUGAACCAUCUGUGUGCUUUUGUGUCAGAGAGGACGUUUCUAGGUGUCAGGGUCCAAGGCCGAGUCUUUCUUACCUGAAAGACGAACAUGUGUCUCCCUGCCGGGACAGGGCCAACCAGCACUGAGUCUAGGAUUUGAUCAAACUCC
Capra hircus (goat) is the source of this 1820-nucleotide long non-coding RNA. RefSeq lists it as uncharacterized. NCBI's taxonomy places the organism in Eukaryota, Metazoa, Chordata, Mammalia, Artiodactyla, Bovidae. The record is from RefSeq and is a predicted model, not a curated record. The transcript is spliced from 4 exons.